RNAcentral lists this ribosomal RNA (473 nucleotides) under uncultured Longilinea sp. RNAcentral's name for it is "bacterial SSU rRNA". It matches the Rfam family "Bacterial small subunit ribosomal RNA", at positions 902 to 1382 of the family's 1533-position model. The record is from RNAcentral. Lineage: Bacteria; Bacillati; Chloroflexota; Anaerolineae; Anaerolineales; Anaerolineaceae.
CAAAUGAAUUGACGGGACCCGCACAAGCAGCGGAGCGUGUGGUUUAAUUCGUUGCUACACGAAGAACCUUACCUGGGUUUGACAUAUAGGUUGUAGGGAACUGAAAAGGGACCGACCCUUCGGGAGCCUAUACAGGUGUUGCAUGGCUGUCGUCAGCUCGUGUCGUGAGAUGUUCGGUUAAGUCCCGCAACGAGCGCAACCCUUGUCAUUAGUUGCUACGAAAGGGCACUCUAAUGAGACUGCCGGUGACAAACCGGAGGAAGGUGGGGAUGACGUCAAGUCCUCAUGGCCCUUAUAGGUGGGGCUACACACGUCAUACAAUGGCUGGUACAAAGGGUUGCCAACCCGCGAGGGGGAGCCAAUCCCAUAAAGCCAGUCGUAGUCCGGAUCGCAGUCUGCAACUCGACUGCGUGAAGUCGGAAUCGCUAGUAAUCGUGGAUCAGCAUGUCACGGUGAAUACGUUCCCGGGUCUU